Long non-coding RNA from Saccostrea cuccullata (small rock oyster), 328 nucleotides. RefSeq lists it as uncharacterized. NCBI's taxonomy places the organism in Eukaryota, Metazoa, Mollusca, Bivalvia, Ostreida, Ostreidae. The record is from RefSeq and is a predicted model, not a curated record. The transcript is spliced from 4 exons.
UCUACAGUUGCUGGUUAUAACUUGAAACUGGGGCUUUGUAUGGCUUCAUUGGACCUGUAGCUUGCAUCGUUCUGAUCAAUAUUGUCAUUGUUAUUAUCCUUUAGGUAACUUUUUGCUCGAUUGGAUACUCACCACAAGAUAAGAGGAGGAACAGGAAAUUAGCCGGAAUAAAGUCCAUCUGUACCCUGUUGCCUGUUCUCGGUGUCACGUGGUUGUUUGGCCUCUUGUCAAUUAAUGAGGAUGUGGUCGUUUUUCAGUAAAUAUUUUGUCUGUUGAAUUCCUUUCAGGGGCUUUGCAUUUUCAUCUCCAAAUGUCUUUUAAGUACAAA